CGCUGGCGGCAGGCCUAACACAUGCAAGUCGAGCGGUAGAGAGAAGCUUGCUUCUCUUGAGAGCGGCGGACGGGUGAGUAAUGCCUAGGAAUCUGCCUGGUAGUGGGGGAUAACGUUCGGAAACGGACGCUAAUACCGCAUACGUCCUACGGGAGAAAGCAGGGGACCUUCGGGCCUUGCGCUAUCAGAUGAGCCUAGGUCGGAUUAGCUAGUUGGUGAGGUAAUGGCUCACCAAGGCGACGAUCCGUAACUGGUCUGAGAGGAUGAUCAGUCACACUGGAACUGAGACACGGUCCUGACUCCUACGGGAGGCAGCAGUGGGGAAUAUUGGACAAUGGGCGAAAGCCUGAUCCAGCCAUGCCGCGUGUGUGAAGAAGGUCUUCGGAUUGUAAAGCACUUUAAGUUGGGAGGAAGGGUUGUAGAUUAAUACUCUGCAAUUUUGACGUUACCGACAGAAUAAGCACCGGCUAACUCUGUGCCAGCAGCCGCGGUAAUACAGAGGGUGCAAGCGUUAAUCGGAAUUACUGGGCGUAAAGCGCGCGUAGGUGGUUUGUUAAGUUGGAUGUGAAAUCCCCGGGCUCAACCUGGGAACUGCAUUCAAAACUGACUGACUAGAGUAUGGUAGAGGGUGGUGGAAUUUCCUGUGUAGCGGUGAAAUGCGUAGAUAUAGGAAGGAACACCAGUGGCGAAGGCGACCACCUGGACUAAUACUGACACUGAGGUGCGAAAGCGUGGGGAGCAAACAGGAUUAGAUACCCUGGUAGUCC
RNAcentral lists this ribosomal RNA (767 nucleotides) under uncultured bacterium. RNAcentral describes it as "bacterial SSU rRNA". It matches the Rfam family "Bacterial small subunit ribosomal RNA", at positions 34 to 796 of the family's 1533-position model. The record is from RNAcentral.